This 206-nucleotide long non-coding RNA is filed under the name Mytilus galloprovincialis (Mediterranean mussel). Lineage: Eukaryota; Metazoa; Mollusca; Bivalvia; Mytilida; Mytilidae. The record is from RNAcentral.
GGUACAGUCCGUGUAACGUAAAAGUUAACAAUACGAACGAUGCCCGAACCAUGUACGGACGAUGCCCGAACGAUGUACGUACGCUUACCGAACGGUGUACGAAUGCAAACGAAACGCUGACCGAGCGUUGUACGGACGCUGAACGAACGAUGUACGAACGAAACCAUGUACCAUAAACCAUUCCAUAAACGAUAACAUAAGCGCCC